Molecule: RNA transcript, 6234 nt
Organism: Macadamia integrifolia
Lineage: Eukaryota; Viridiplantae; Streptophyta; Magnoliopsida; Proteales; Proteaceae
Exons: 4
Source: RefSeq, a predicted model, not a curated record
UUUCCGGGAACAACUGACAUCAACGCACACGCUCCCCUCAGUUUCCUGAAAACUCUUUGUUGCCACUGAGUGUUAGGGCUAGAGUUUUCAGUAUCUCUUUAUAAAUGUAAAUGUGAUAUAGUUUGAUGUUAUUAAAUUGCUUUUUGUUUUAUUUCUUGGGUUUUGCUAUAUGGAUCCAUCGGUGGAUGAUGGACACUCGGCAAUUUGGAAAUGGCGGUGGUAAAGAGAAAGGUUUUUUGGAUUCAGUGGAAGUUUUUCCUAUUUUUGGAUGGAGUUGGUGAUUGCAGUGGAAGGGAAGAGUGUCGCCAAGCGGUGAGCGACGGAUGGAACGAGACGUAUAUGAAAUGUUCUGAGAUGAUGCUCCAAGUGUCCAAAAAGCUCUGUUUUUCGCAACAGAAAAUUUAAUGGAGUUUUACUGUUUCGGGGCGUCCGUCUCUCUCGUGAGUGCUCACCACACACAGACUUUCCCUUUCUCUCUCGGGAAAAGGUUUUGGAGGAGUUUGAGACUUAUCAGAGAUAAGCUCUGGUUUUAAUUUGAAACGCGUAACAGAACCCACUACUGGUCCGGCAUAAAAAUGGGUUUUAAUUAAUUAAACUAAUCUGGAAUCCAUGCCGUGGAUAAUGGGUGACCGUGCUAAAUUGGAUUAUAUGAUCAUAUCCAACGGCCGACCGCCGACCAGUUCUUCCCGGAACCCUUCAGAUGAAGGUGCUACAUGAAUCGGAAAUUCAGAAACAAUGGACCCUUCACCCGCCUGUGAUUAUAUUAUUUGAUUUACAGAGAUCAAAUGCUGUUUAGCGGGAAAAGAAGCAAAAACGUCAAUUUUCCAUCUUUAUAGGCGAAAACGCUUUGAAUGCGAGGAUAGAAAAGAUGUUGAUUCAGGUAACCAUCUGGAGUCUGUGGUUGAGGAGCCGGCUCUCUAUGGAGGUGACCUCUGAGACGAGGAGCUAGUUACGCACGAGGACGGUUGUGUAUGUGAUGAUUGUGCAUUCAGAGCACGUUGAGGAUGAGAGUAUCAUUUUCCUUUUGUUUUCUUUUGUACUUAUUAGAUAUAAGCCCUAGGGGCAUGACUGUAAUUUUGAUUCCGCUGUGAAAACCUUCUUUUGAGUAGAUAUGUUAAAUAUCAUUAGAUAUCACUAGUUGUGUAUAUUUUGAUUUAUUAUUAUCUAUGUGAUUGUAGAAUCAUUUCAUAACUUUACGAACUUAAAGUAUUGCAUCGUGGAUCCUGGAUGAAUUGUGGACACAUGUGCGUGUCCAUGUCACCAGCCUUCGGGUGAGUGGAGGCGGGGUGUGACACUGAUGCUUGACAUUUCUGCACUGAAACCCAUAGUCAUCAAGGUGUUGCUUAGGCACCUAGGUGUCCAGGAGGCUCAGCCUGGACUGGUGCCUUGGUCACCUGGGCCUUGGGUUGCCUUACGCCUUGAUAACCUUGCUAAAACAUUAUCUUGAUUACCCAAAAUUCAAUGCACACGGAUAUACUCGUUGAUCUUUUAAUUGAUUUGUUGUUGCUUAUGGUACUCCUCUGUUGAGCUGAAUACUGCUUUAUAACACUGUUUCUCCAUUCAAAUUGUAGGAGAUUUUGUUGACCGUUGCUGUCUAGUUUCUUACUUCUAGUGAUGCAGCUCAUAUUGGCAUUUUAACAUGGAAAUUCAUCUAAUGGGUGACCUGUUUGGAUAGAAUGUUUAUGAUGUCUUAGUCUACAUCGGCAGUUCUGAAAUUCUUCGAUGCAAAAAUGAUUCUAUAUCUGAUGCUUUGGGUCGAUGAUCAAUAUACCUUCAUUUGCUUCUCUGUUAUCAUUGAUUUAAUGCAACAUACUGAGUCAUGGUAUUUGAUUAAUGAUAAAUUUGAUGUGGUAACUAGUUGAACAUGUUUUGCACUAUCGAUAUUCAUUGUGGUGCUAUAUCAUGAAUUCAUGAUUGUCUCGACUCUUGAAUAAAAUCACGAAGACAAUCAGCUAACAAGUCCAUUAUUUCAUUUAUGAAAAGAGCCCUCAAUGAUUACCUGUUGAAAGGAAAGUCCACUACAUGAAGACAAUUUUAAAGCACUUUUCCUGGCAUUUGAAUAUGUUUCAUCAUGAGCUGAUCUGUACUCUUGAAUCCAGUAGUUGUUGCUUGUUGCCCCGUGUCUGGACAAUAGUUGGCCAUAUUAAAACUUAAAAGUUCCGUUUAUUGCAGCAAGCUAGUCAUCAUCCACUCCUCAACAGCCAUCGUGUGAGACUUUCAACCUCUUCCAUAGUGAUUAUUGGAGCUCUGAACAACUAAUGAAAUCCGAUUCAAAAUUGUGAUAAACAGUUUCUAUAAAUGCUCCCUCCCUCUCUCUCACAACCUCCCACACCACACACACCUAUGUCUUCUAAAGCUACUUUCCAUAUCUUUUAAAGUGACCUUUUUUCUUCAGCUUAUGCUUCUGAGGCCCAUAGUUUAGUUCCUAAUAAAACUAACCUUUAACACAUCAUUUCUUGAAGAACACAUGGAUACUGGGGUUUGUAUUCAUAAUACUCCUCAUGGAGUUGAAUUCUACUUUUCCAACUUCUGGCUUAUUUCUUCUAAAGUGGAAAUAAUUAUUCAAACAAAAAGAGAUGAAGGUAUAUUACAUUAUCCAUGGAGUACUACAUGUGCUGCCACGCUGGUGCCCUUUUGCCAACUGCUCUACUUUCACAAAGAAAAGGACCUAUGGCUUGAUGCAAAUCCCGCCUUUGCAGCAUCCUUGGAGGGAUGGUGAUGCAGGGACAAAGAAGAGGAGAAAGGACUGAUGUCCUCUAUUUCAUAGUUUCACCAAGAUGUUUAGGCAGUUCAGGUCAUGGGGUUUGGAAAUUUAGUUUAUGUAUUUUUUCUAUUCCAAGUCUAAUUUUGAGUCCUAGAAUUAUUAGAAUGAUUCUGUUUCUCAAAUCUAUGUACAGAUUUAUUGGCCAUUGGCCUCCCCACGAAUUUUCAAGUAAUAAAAUUUUGUUUUCUGCAACAGAGAGCUGUGUGGAGUCAUGGCCGACUUGAGUGGACUCUCAAGUACCCCUUGGUGGAUUCCAAGGACUCAGUGAGGUCGAUUCCUUACUUUCCCUCCUUAUUAUUGUAUCUAUUCCUUUAAUUCCAUUUUCUGUUCUUCAAAAUCUUUUUUUCAAUUUCUAGUCUUUUACUGUUAUUAGCGAUACCCUGUUUUAGAACCAGUACUCCUCCAUCAUGUUUAUUUUAUAACUCUUAUCAUUCCUGCUCAGAUUGAUCUGAAAUUUGGUGGUUGAUGUUUUCUAGCAUAUUGUACUGAUUUCUUAUUUAAAUUCUGACUUUACUUGGCCAUCUUAAUAGUUCCUUUGCUCCUUCCCUGCUUUCUCUUUAUUUUUUGGUCCUAGUUUAUCGCACUCCUUAAUCUGUCUCAGAUUUCUGAGAAAUUUUGACAGCUGACAGAUCUGGUCCCGAGGGUCAGUAAACCUGUAUGUCAGGCCCAUUGGAUCAGUUCACCUCAAUUUAUCAAAUUUCCCCCCUAUUCUCUCUAUCCUGAUAGUUUCAGCUUCUUAUUUUCUAAGCUCUGAAAUUUACUUCCUCGUUUGAUUCCAACUCAAUUCUGUAAAUUCCGUUAUCUGUUCUUCCAUUUUCUAAUAUUCGUCCAUGUUGGAGAUCCACUUUGCAGAUCCUUUCUCUUGAGCGCUAUACUGAGAGCUUGAGAGUGCAGGUUAGCACCAGGUGGAGUAGGGUCAGUCCAACAUUUGGCAUUUUUCUCACAAAGUGGCUGCCCUCAGACUCAAAUCUGGGUCUUCAUGCUGGUUGUCCAAGCUUUUUUACCCUUGCACCAAGUAAUACGACGGAAAAUGAGGAAAAAUUGCAAUCUGGCGGAUAUUGUUUGUCCCCUGGGUCCAGAAUUUUUAUAUUUUCCGAUUGUUCUCUUCCUUUGUUGAGGGCUUCGUCCAGUGGUCAUUGAGGUCUUCGUUGGUCCCACUAGAUUGUACUCUUUUUUUUAUUAUUUAUUUUUUAUUAUCUUUAACCUUAAUAAGAUUUGUUAUUCAUCAAGAAGGGGACAUGAGAAAAAAACUUGCAAAUCUAGUGCAUCUGAGGGAAGGUGUUUUGGAUGCCUGCUAAUGAAUCUGACCAUAUUUAUAUUUCGAGAGAGAAAGUUCCAAUGGGCUCAUAAUUUGCUUUUGUAGUUGGUUUGUUAUGCCACAAUAUUAUAUUGAACAAAAUCUAAAAUGAUAGUUAUAUGAAAACUCUGGCUUGCAGCUAGAAGCUUGUGAUGCUUGAUAAUUUUGUUAGCUUGAUAGCCUGUCAAUCUCUAAGGAGAUUGGUGAAGCAAGAGAAAGUCUUGAUUCAUCCUUCUUAAUUUGUGCAAGGUAUACCUUUAGAGGCUCUCUCUUUUCUCUGUUUUGGAUGUCCUAAUACAUUCUAUUCGUCGCCCUGCAUCUUUUACCCCCCCCCCCUUUUCUAGCAAUGGCAUAUGGUGGGACUAAAUUUGAUGCUGUUGAAUCUUUUUCUAUUUUCUUUAAGUUUAUUGAAAUUCUGGUUUCAGUUCCUGUUAUGGCUGUUUAGUUAGUGCCUUGCCAUUCACAUUUUCUAUCAUGAGAGCAUUUGUAUUUACUUAAUGAGAUAUUUGGGCUACAGAUGGAAUACCAAGGUCAACUGGGCAAGAGCCAGUCAUGUUAUUUUGGUGGUAAGCUUUGGUUGACAGGACAAAUGCAUAUGCAAUAUCUUGUGUUUGGGGCCAUUGGACCAAUUACAUUGGAGAAGAAGGUAAUAAUUGACCUCAUUUCUCAGAUUUGGAUGGUUAACCAUUGAAGUCACUGUUCCUGCUGAUCUUCGCUGUAGAUGUGAGAUCCAUUAAGUGGUGGGUCCUGAUCCUUGAACAUACGACACAUAGAAUUAUUGGUUGCCCUAGAACCAUCUCUAAAAACUAGCAAUUCCAUUAGUAAAGCUAUUGUUAUUUUUGUUGUUUGUUGUCGUGUUACUCUUGUUGUUAUUGUUGAUCUUCAUCAUCAUCAGCUUUUGCAUGUCACUGAAGCUAGGAGAAUAAAUUUCAUUAGAUGCUUACAAGACCAGCUGUGCUUCAUGGUGUUUGAGUAUCAGGGGACGAAGAAACCAAAGUUUAGAUAAGAUAAGAUGAUGAUCUAGAUUAGUGGAAAAACUAGGGUGAUAGAACAAGAAUUAAUGCACUAGGGGAUACUUGAAGAGUUGCACACAUAACAGUAUACGAGAAAGUGAUUUUAAUUCAUAUUAUGCUGUUACAAAUCCUUGCAUGCUCAAGAUUAAGAUUUUCCAUUUUCUUAUAUUUGCUUUUCUUGUGUUGGUACUGCCCUCCUGUAGAUCGGAAGUCAACUUCACUUCUUGAACGUUUUCCUUUUUCUUUCAAUAAAAGUGUAAGACCUAUAAUAGUGAAAUAAAUAUUGUUGAUGAGUAUAAUAAUGGAAUAAAAUAUUGUUAAUGAAUAUAAUAAUGAAAUAAAUAUUGUUUAAUUAUUCUGCUAUUGGAUUAGUUUAAUGGGGAAUCCAAUGUACCAGCUGGACCUCUAAUUAUUACAAAAUUAAAUGCAAAACUUAUAUAAACUCUUGGCUGUUUGGAUUCUUACAGUUCAAACUGAGCCUUAGUGGACCCAGUAUUCUUGUGGGCCGCUGCGUCCUUCUCUCUAUUUCAUUUUGGCUCAGCAGGCACCCACAACAUGGCAAAAGGUAUUGGCCUUACAAGUUGAUAAGAGUUCAAUACACAGCUGGUUACAAGGCUAAACCAUUAUUCCCCUUUCUCCCUGUGAAGCAUGAGAUUUCUUAGUAUGUUUCUUAGCCAUGGUUGAUGGUCUAGUUUUAAGCUCCAGGACUUGAAAGUAAUUGCUAAAGUAAAAAAUCAUUAAUGGUGUUUGCAUGAUUAUUCUUUGCUUGCAAUGUUUGAUUGUGUUUGCUGUGUUUAAAGACCUUCUGCAUAGGACCUGAAGCUUGGAUGAAUCUUGCAAUCUUGGUAAAGUGUAAUCUCGUGGAUGAUUUGUUGAAUGCAGACCAAUACCCGACUGUAAGUGUGCUUGCAGGAGCUACCUCAUGUGCAGGGUUUUAGUGCAUGGGAUCGGCAUCAGUAUUGGUCGCUGCUGAUAUCGAUACAGAUAGGACCAUAAUGGCUCUGAGUCGGGCGAAAUUUUAAAAGGUCCCUUUCUUACCAGUACCAUCAUUCUGUAUCAGUAACUGUAAAUCGUUCUGGUCCUUGUUUUGGACAUUGGAAUUGUACUCGUGUUGUAACCAAAACACUAAUAAGAACAAUAGAUUGUAAUUUCAAUUUUAA